AGCGAACGCUGGCGGCAGGCUUAACACUUGCAAGUCGAGCGGGCACUUUCGGGUGUCAGCGGCGGACGGGUGAGUAACGCGUGGGAACGUGCCCUCUGGUUCGGAAUAACUCAGGGAAACUUGAGCUAAUACCGGAUACGCCCUUUUGGGGAAAGGCUUGCUGCCGGAGGAUCGGCCCGCGUCUGAUUAGCUAGUUGGUGAGGUAACGGCUCACCAAGGCGACGAUCAGUAGCUGGUCUGAGAGGAUGAUCAGCCACACUGGGACUGAGACACGGCCCAGACUCCUACGGGAGGCAGCAGUGGGGAAUAUUGGACAAUGGGCGCAAGCCCGAUCCAGCUAUGCCGCGUGAGUGAUGAAGGCCUUAGGGUUGUAAAGCUCUUUUAUCCGGGACGAUAAUGACGGUACCGGAGGAAUAAGCCCCGGCUAACUUCGUG
This 435-nucleotide ribosomal RNA is filed under the name uncultured bacterium. Its description in RNAcentral is "partial 16S ribosomal RNA". It matches the Rfam family "Bacterial small subunit ribosomal RNA", at positions 29 to 507 of the family's 1533-position model. The record is from RNAcentral.